This 489-nucleotide ribosomal RNA is filed under the name uncultured bacterium. Its description in RNAcentral is "partial 16S ribosomal RNA". It matches the Rfam family "Bacterial small subunit ribosomal RNA", at positions 28 to 507 of the family's 1533-position model. The record is from RNAcentral.
GAUGAACGCUAGCGGGAGGCCUAACACAUGCAAGCCGAGCGGGAUUUGUUGGUUAGCUUGCUAACUAACAAUGAGAGCGGCGUACGGGUGCGUAGCACGUGUGCAACCUGCCUUUAUCUGGGGGAUAGCCUUUCGAAAGGAAGAUUAAUACCCCAUACCAUAUUGAUUGGCAUCAGUUAAUAUUGAAAGCUCCGGCGGAUAGAGAUGGGCACGCGUAAGAUUAGCUAGUUGGUGAGGUAACGGCUCACCAAGGCUGCGAUCUUUAGGGGGCCUGAGAGGGUGAUCCCCCACACUGGUACUGGGACACGGACCAGACUCAUACGGGAGGCAGCAGUGAGGAAGAUUGGACAAGGGAUGAGAGCCUGAUCCAGCCAUCCCGCGUGAAGGACUAAGGACCUAUGGAUUGUAAACUUCUUUUAUACAGGGAUAAACCUACUCUCGUGAGGGUAGCUGAAGGUACUGGAUGAAUAAGCACCGGCUAACUCCGUG